RNAcentral lists this long non-coding RNA (418 nucleotides) under Homo sapiens (human). RNAcentral's name for it is "HSALNT0278874". The record is from RNAcentral. Lineage: Eukaryota; Metazoa; Chordata; Mammalia; Primates; Hominidae.
GUUGGGUCUGUGAUGUAGAGGGAAGGGGAGAGGGGUAGAAGAGGGGAGAGAAGAGGGGAGGGACGGGGUGAGGCCUUCUUGAGGAAGGGCUGCUCUUCUCUGUUUUAUUUCCGGGGACUGCAGGAGGGCCAGUAUGUCUUGCUUGCCUGUCCAGGCAGUGCUGCCUGCCUGGGGCUUGGCUGGAGACAAAGCCUGGAUGCCCAGGAUUUGAGAGGGGUGAAAGUUGGCAUCCGGGCUCAGCCACUCCGCCCGCCUCCCAUGUGUGGACCUUCACUGUGCCACCUCUUCUGCCUGGGGCCACCUGAACUCCCGGCCUUCAGAUAACCCAGCUCCGGAGUCUUCCCAGGCUCAGGGUGGCCUCCCUUCCUGCUGGUGGCAGUGCCUGGAGACAGAUGUGGCUCUCAACUCAGCGCUGUUG